This 552-nucleotide ribosomal RNA is filed under the name Pyrenochaeta sp. DoF20. Its description in RNAcentral is "eukaryotic LSU rRNA". The stretch from base 195 to 348 matches the Rfam family "5.8S ribosomal RNA". Lineage: Eukaryota; Fungi; Ascomycota; Dothideomycetes; Pleosporales; Cucurbitariaceae. The record is from RNAcentral.
CUUCCGUAGGGUGAACCUGCGGAAGGAUCAUUAUCAAUUUUACAGUCCUAGAAUAGGGGUAAAAACUCUAUUCUAUGCUGUUCAACCCUUUGUCUUUUGCGUACUGUAUGUUUCCUCGGCGGGUUCGCCCGCCGAUAGGACACUUCAAAACCUUUUGUAAUUGCAAUCAGCGUCAGAAAAACUAUAAUAGUUACAACUUUCAACAACGGAUCUCUUGGUUCUGGCAUCGAUGAAGAACGCAGCGAAAUGCGAAAAGUAGUGUGAAUUGCAGAAUUCAGUGAAUCAUCGAAUCUUUGAACGCACAUUGCGCCCCUUGGUAUUCCAUGGGGCAUGCCUGUUCGAGCGUCAUUUGUACCCUCAAGCUCUGCUUGGUGUUGGGUGUUUGUCCCGCCUUCGCGCGUGGACUCGCCUUAAAGUGAUUGGCAGCCGGAAUAAUUCUGGGGAACGCAGCACAACUGCAGCCUCCAUUUUACGCCGAGCGUCCAGUAAGCCUAUUUUUACGUUUGACCUCGGAUCAGGUAGGGAUACCCGCUGAACUUAAGCAUAUCAAAA